CCUACGGGUGGCUGCAGUGGGGAAUAUUGCGCAAUGGGCGAAAGCCUGACGCAGCGACGCCGCGUGAGGGAUGAAGGUUUUCGGAUCGUAAACCUCUGUCAGAAGGGAAGAAGUUGCAUGGGGCCAAUCACCUGUGCAUUGACGGUACCUUCAAAGGAAGCACCGGCUAACUCCGUGCCAGCAGCCGCGGUAAUACGGAGGGUGCGAGCGUUUAUCGGAAGUACUGGGCGGAAAGGGCACGUAGGCCGUAUGUCAAGUCAAGGGUGAAAUCCCACGGCUCAACCGUGGAACUGCAUUGGAAACUGGCAAACUGGAGUGUGUGAGAGGGUGGCGGAAUUCCGGGUGUAGGGGUGAAAUGCGUAGAUAUCAGGAGGAACAUCAGUGGCGAAGGCGGCCGCCUGGAACAAAACUGACGCUGAGGUGCGAAAGCGUGGGUAGCAAACAGGAUUAGAUACCCCGGUAGUC
This 465-nucleotide ribosomal RNA is filed under the name uncultured bacterium. Its description in RNAcentral is "partial 16S ribosomal RNA". It matches the Rfam family "Bacterial small subunit ribosomal RNA", at positions 338 to 795 of the family's 1533-position model. The record is from RNAcentral.